UUUUCUUGACUUCCUGGCUGUAAUGCAAUGAUUUGAUUUCUGUUUAACUGAUAUUUCUUUUAUCAAUUCUCGCAUUGCUUCUCAUGUGACAAAAUAAAACUCUGAUUCUUUUUUCCGUUUUUGCAGAACAGGAAAUAACCACUUGGCCCCGUUUCUGGUGGUUUUGCCUGUACCAGAAUGUCCUAGAGAAAUACAACCCGUUACAAACCUCAGAAUGUCAGGGGAAGAUGGAUGGCCUGGAAUAUUUUGAACAAUAUAAAUUGAGCAGAGUAUAGAAUAUCUUACAUUUUAAGCUAAGCUCUAUUUUCUGGAAAAAAAGGAAAAUAUGGCUAAAAUAUUUCAUAGCACAAAUCAGCCUUGAUUCCUUCAAAAUCAUUCAAAUAAUUGUAUGUUGAUGAGAACAAGUUCUUUGCUUUUUAAUGAUGGUGUAUAUGAGUAAUUCAGAGCCUUAUUUCAACAUUACUGGUCAAUCUAUGCCUUUUAUUGACAUUAACCUUCCUGUAAAAUGAGACCAUUUAAGUUCACCUUUCAAUUGACUGGCUGACAUUAUAAGUCACCUAUUCUGAGAUUUAAUCAAGUAUAAACUGAAAGUCUUCUCUAGGUCAUGUUACCUAGUCUAGUAAAAUUUGUUUGAAACAAGGCCCUUAAUGCUGAUCAUCAAGCUCACACUGCCCUGGGUUCAUGAUUUCCUUAACUCAUUGCUUUCUGAAAUCUUUAUUUGCUUCACUUUUCUUUGUUUCCGUUUUUCCCCAUCACCCUGUGCAGGAAAGGUGAGCGCUAACUCUAUUGAGUGUGUUUGUUGCCAUGGUGAAGAAAAUAGUACAAUUCCCCAGUUAAUAGAGUAUCAGGGUGAGGAAGAUAUUUCUUCCAAGCUCCCAUGAUUUUCAUUUCAUUACAGUGGAACUAAAGAGCACUGACAGGCCUGUUGAAGAAAAAUCUGAUGUUAGAUGUAGUUCAUAAUGUCAUGCUAUUCACUCAGAAUAUAUAGUACUUCCCUUGGAGACAUUAUUUAAAAUGCUUGCAAUGGAGAAAUGUUUGAAAAGGGACUUCAUGUGGUCAUUUACUUCCUAACUAAAAAAGAACUGGUAUUCUAUAGAUUUCCAUUUUGAGAACUGGACAGUAACAGAGUAAUAUUGCUGCAAAAUAUCUUAUUAAUUCAUGCUUUAAAAAAUGAUUUGUGGCUUUUCUAAAGGAAAAUGUCUUCAUUUAGCUGUCCCAUCUAAACUUGGGUGUGGAAAGCAUAAAGAACCUAUCUUUCACAAGUACAAAGGGUAAUGCAUUUUUAGUAAUGUAUGUGGUUCUGAACAGAAAAUCUUUUACUCCUAUCCCUUCUCUCUCAUUUCUUUCCAUCUCUUCUACUUACUCCUCCUACUCACCCCAACCUCUCUUCACAUGCACUUAUAGAUUCACAAGAGCCAAAUGUGUCAGGAAUGUUUACUAGAAGACAGAAGAAAGUAGCUAAGGUCCAACAGUGUAGCUGAAUGUCUCCCAUGAAUUUUUUAUUUGUUAGGUAAUUCAAAACACCACAGCUGAACCUUGUGUAAGAGGUCAUGUCAACUUCACAAUCUUUCGUUAAAAUAGAAGCAAAUAGAAAGCUUUCUUAAUUGCAUUUUUUUCUACUUAUCUAAGUCUAAUUUACUAUGAUGAAAUGUACUUUGUUGAGCAUUCCAUUGUUUCAAUAAAGAAAGAAAAUAAAGAAAAAUAAUUGUUAAAAACAUAGAUUAAAGAAAAGUAAGAAUAUUUGAAAAUAGCAAAUUUCCAAUUUCUAACUCCAUUGUUAGGUUGCCAGGUCCUUUAUGAACCCUGAGAUUGUUAGAACUGCAAAUAAAGUAGAAUAGAAUGUUGAAGUGGGUUAUGUUGAAGUCUGCCGAUAGACAACACAAAGGUAUGUUAUGUUAGAAAUUUUCUGUCUAAAUAUAGUUCAAAUAAUAAAAAAAGAAAGAAAAAAAAGAUGAAUGUAUUCAAGACUUUCUUUAGAGGAAAGAAAGUUAGCUUUAAUAAUAGAUAGUAGAUAUUUUGUCAAGAAGUUGUGUUAGAGUAGGUGCUAUUGAGAUGGAUAUGUGGGAAAGUGGAAGAAGUUAAUAAUUGUAGAGCACUCAUGCUGUGUUAUGCACCUUAUACAAUUUAUCUUGUAUAAUCUUUGUUUAUUGUAAGCUUGAGAAGGUGUGUAGCAAUGUGCACAUUUUCACAAAUAAAGGGAGAAAAGAAAUCUUUUUCUCAAGCUCCUAGAAUAGAACACUUGAAGUCAGGUCCAUAGAAUGUCAUACCUUGUUGUCUGACCCCUGCUGAUAAGGGAUGCCAAAGUUUCCAGUAUUUUGGAAAAAGGAGCAUUGGAAGAGAAAUUGUAGAGAGAGCAAAUUCAUAAAUAUCGCCUGGUUAAUUCCAUUUUAUUAUCAUUUCUCACAAAACAAAAUAGAUGUUUUGAUGGUCACAUUACCAGGGAAUUUUGUGUUUUCAGCUGGAUGUUGCAAGUCUUUGUGUGAUCAUCCUCCAAAUCUCACAACAUCCCUUCCAUUUAAUUAUAAUCUAUUGACUGUAUUGUUCCGUUUUACAGACAAUGACAAUAUUUAUUUGCAUCCAUUAAAAAACAUAAAUCUGAGCACUUUUAAAGAUCACAUCAAACUUGAGAGAAAGACUGUACCUCAACAGAGAGAAGAAAUAGAAGACAUGGACACUGCCUCUUAAGAACAUAAAAUCUAAUUGUUGAGGCAGGUCAAACUAAGAAAUAUAAGUGCAUUUGAGACUCAUAUAAUUAAGCACAACACAAAUAUAGACUGAUAGAAGUUUCAUUGCAGAUAAGGCCCGAAGAUCCAGACUGAUGAUAAGCCUAAAGCUGGUAGAGGACAAUCACCACUGGAUUCUACCACAGAAGGCUGUAAACACACCUGAAGAUUUUUACUAAAGUUACCAAAAUCACUAUCAUUCCAGGGAAUCCAGCUACCAUGGUGAGUAGCACUACAGAGAGUCCCACGCAGCAAAGAAUUGAAACUUCUAAACAAUACCCAUGAGAGAAGAUUCAAGGAGGAACUGAAAUAGAGAGAGGGUCCUUUGCAAAACAGCAUCAAACAGAUCCCAGUUACUUGUAACAUCUGCCCUGCCAUCGGAAUAACAUAAUGAGAGUCCUGGGCAACCCAGAGAGAAGUGUAAAUAACAGCAGUUACUAAUCAGAACACCGCUGAAUUUUGAAAAAUUUUUGCAUGCUUUAAUUUCUUCACAUUUUAAGUAAUUAUACUAAUUAUGAGAGUGCUGUGUG
RNA transcript from Piliocolobus tephrosceles (Ugandan red Colobus), 3253 nucleotides. It is a transcript of the gene named long intergenic non-protein coding RNA 2877, with no coding region annotated. The transcript is spliced from 3 exons. Lineage: Eukaryota; Metazoa; Chordata; Mammalia; Primates; Cercopithecidae. The record is from RefSeq and is a predicted model, not a curated record.